GCAUGGCUUUUCUGCCCAAAACCAGUUCCACAGAGUCUUCUAUCCUGGAGAUAAUUGAAUUACUUCCCAAUUAUCUCUAUGAUAGAAGACUCUGUGGAACUGGUUUUGGGCAGAAAAGCCAUGCUUCCUUU
Molecule: non-coding RNA, 131 nt
Organism: Pelobates cultripes (western spadefoot toad)
Lineage: Eukaryota; Metazoa; Chordata; Amphibia; Anura; Pelobatidae
Source: the annotation of a GenBank genome assembly